GUCCAAGUACACGUCCUUGAACGACGGAAACUGCGAACGGCUCAUUAAAUCAGUUGCGAUCUACUCGGCGUUCCGCGCCGCCGGAUAACCGUAGUAAUUCUAGAGCUAAUACAUGCAAAAAACCUGGACUUUACAGAACAGGUGUACUUAUUAGACUUUAAAACCGAUUACAAUUUAUUGUAAAUUUAAAAUGAAUUAAAAUAAGUUUAUGAAUCGCAGAUCAUUUUGUGAUGAUAAGAAUGAAUUUCUGCCCUAUCAACUUUCGAUGGUAAUGUAGUGGAUUACCAUGGUGAUGACGGGUAACGGGGAAUUAGGGUUUGAUUCCGGAGAAAAGGCCUGAGAGACGGCCAUUACUUCUAAGGAAGGCAGCAGGCGCGUAAAUUACCCAAUCCUAAUACGGGGAGGUAGUGACAAGAAAUAUUGAUAUUGGACCCAAAGGGUACAAUGAUUGAAAUGAGAACAAUAUAAAAAAACUUAACGACUAACAAUUGGAGGGCAAGUCUGGUGCCAGCAGCCG
RNAcentral lists this ribosomal RNA (517 nucleotides) under uncultured eukaryote. RNAcentral's name for it is "bacterial SSU rRNA". It matches the Rfam family "Eukaryotic small subunit ribosomal RNA", at positions 57 to 576 of the family's 1831-position model. The record is from RNAcentral.